This 342-nucleotide long non-coding RNA is filed under the name Ananas comosus (pineapple). RNAcentral's name for it is "long non-coding RNA (ACOM_LNC012147)". Lineage: Eukaryota; Viridiplantae; Streptophyta; Magnoliopsida; Poales; Bromeliaceae. The record is from RNAcentral.
AACUUUUGAAGCUGGUUUAAGCGCUUGAACUCGCCGCAAAGGGGAAAUUCAAGUUAGAUCCUAAAUUGGGUACGAGGCUAUCUAGAUUCAGCGCAUAUGUGAGAUUCUUGUAGUAAGUUGACAUCAAGCUUCUAACUUGAUUAGUAUGUUGGUUAGGGGAUUUGGAGACUUCGGGUUACUUGCGGUUGCGAGCUCGGCAGGAGUCGUCAAUCACUUGGUGGGUCUGACUUUCCAGAAAUUGGUGAAUUUCCUUUAUGUCUUCUUGACAUUAUGAAACUGGAAUUAUUGCAUACCAAUGUGAACAUAUGUAUACUUGAAUGGAUUGGAGCACGCAUCAAUAUG